GUUCUCCUGUCCUAUGCUGUCCUGCAGGGUCGCUGUGAGUCAGUGCUGCCUCAGGGCAGGGGGUUUGAUAAUGGCUCCCCAGGCAGACCUGUCACCCUCUGGGUCACACGGGCUCUUUGUAGGAGGCUGCUGGACCUCCAGCAGACCAGGAGCUCCAUGCUCCCACUCUCCCCACUGCAGUGCGGCCCAACCUUUCUGCAGUCUCCCAGAGGGUGCAGGUGCCCCUAGGGGUGUGUGUGUGUGCACGCAGGCAGGUUUCCGUUGCUCCCCACCAGCUUCCAUCUCUCUGUGAGAGUCCCUAGUCCUUCAAGGGGGGUGAGGAAUGGUUUACAAACAUUGUGGAAUCCUGCUGCCUCACAAGGAAGACAUCUGUUUGGGCCUCAGAGGUAGAAACAUCUCCUGCCAAAACAAAGGUGUGUGGGAAUUUUGUUUUCUCCCCUUUUUUAAUCUAGAAGCAAAUAUUUGGUGCCCGGGAGGGUUGGGCUGUUUUCCUAAGUGAUUAUUUACAAGUGGGGGCCGCUCUGGUCGUCGGCAGCAAGCAGAGAGCCCCGGAGAGGUUUCCACCAGAACGGAGAGGGAGGAGGCACGUGUUUGUGGGGACAAGGGGCCACCCCCCACCUUCGUGUAGUUUUCACCUUCCGUUUAAUCAAACCUCAGUGCCUUUGGACCUAGGGACUGAAUGACUGAGGGAAGAGGGGCUCUCUCCUGGUGGCCGUCGGGGCCGUUCACAGUUCCAGAGGGGCUCACCCCUCCCCGAGCCAGACGUGCACCCUCACUCUGCCCACAGGAGCCUGCCCCCUUCCCCAAGACCCUUUGCUCCUGCGUAAUUCUCCAGCCAGCAAAUGGCCUCCUGCUAUAGACUGAGGGAACCACCCAGGCAUCUCCUGCACCCCAGCACACAGCGUCUCCGAUGACAGCGCCCCGAGGUGGCCACUCUGAAGUCAGCUGUUACCAAGGGGAGUGACGCUCUGGGUUUCCAAAUGAAAUCUCCUGGCCGGGCAGCGAUGACAACUAGGGUCAGAACAAGCACGUUUUGCAUGUUCGCAUUGAACUUGACAGGUGCAAUCAGGACCAAAGCCCAUCGGUCCCGAGAGGAGGCUGCAGGCACCUGGACCAGAUGGCGGCGCCACCUCCAUCAAAUGUCAUAUCUGAUGUGCUCCGCCGGACGGAGCUGGUGGCUCUGCAAAGCCCCAAAGGUCUGCUACUUGCUGCUGUGUGAUGGUGGGCAAGUCCCUGGACCUCUCCUCUCUGGGUCUGUUCCCUACCUGUGACACGGAGCUGUGUUUAAGAUGAAGGAGGGAAGUCAAGGAAAGCCCGCAGAUUCGAUGGAGGAGCGACUCUUGGUUCCAGGCUUAACCGUGACUUCAGGGCAAUCAUUUCAGGAGUCCAUCCUACCUCCAACACUCCAUGGCUGUACCCCUGUAUUAGCUGGAUGCUUUUUCUAGAGACCCUUCUAUAGCCAUCCAGCAAAUAAGCCCACAUGGAUGAAACACACCAGCGCGGGCGACCGUGAGAUGUCGACGGGACCAGCCAUCAGCAUCGAAGACCCAACACAAAGCAAUUAUAUCGAUGCGAACCAGGGGGGUUGGAGCGGAGACCCAAAGCCCAUCUGUAGAGAAUUGGACAUCCCACCACAGAAGUGGUAUAAGGAAGGGAUGAUUCAACCAGGGUGCAGUAUAGCACCGAGGAAUCAUUCCCCUAGUUCCUGUGUCCUGCCACCACCACCCCCCGCCCCCCGCAACCACUACCAUGACCCAGUUCUAACUUAAACAAAUCUGGUUAAC
Long non-coding RNA from Echinops telfairi (small Madagascar hedgehog), 1784 nucleotides. RefSeq lists it as uncharacterized. The record is from RefSeq and is a predicted model, not a curated record. Lineage: Eukaryota; Metazoa; Chordata; Mammalia; Afrosoricida; Tenrecidae. The transcript has 4 exons.